GACGAACGCUGGCGGCGCGCCUAACACAUGCAAGUCGAGCGAUGAAAUUUUAACCGAUCUCUUCGGAGAGAAGAUAAAAUGGAUUAGCGGCGGACGGGUGAGUAACACGUGAGAAACCUGCCUUUCACAAGGGGAUAGCCUCGGGAAACCGGGAUUAAUACCCUAUGACACAUUUCCUUCGCAUGGAAGAAAUGUUAAAACUCCGGUGGUGAAAGAUGGUCUCGCGCCUGAUUAGCUAGUUGGUGGGGUACCGGCCCACCAAGGCCAUGAUCAGUAACCGGCAUGAGAGAGUGAACGGUCACAUGGGAGCUAAGACACAGUCCAGACUCCUACGCGAGGCAGCAGUGGGGAAUAUUGCACCAUGGAGGAAACUCUGAUGCAGCGACGACGCGUGAGCGAUGAAGUCUUUCGAGUAGUAAAGCUCUGUCCUAUGGGAAGAUAAUGACGGUACCAAAGGAGGAAGCCCCGGCUAACUACGUG
This 480-nucleotide ribosomal RNA is filed under the name uncultured bacterium. RNAcentral's name for it is "partial 16S ribosomal RNA". It matches the Rfam family "Bacterial small subunit ribosomal RNA", at positions 28 to 507 of the family's 1533-position model. The record is from RNAcentral.